RNAcentral lists this transfer RNA (73 nucleotides) under Stegodyphus mimosarum. It matches the Rfam family "tRNA". Rfam says of the family: Transfer RNA (tRNA) molecules are approximately 80 nucleotides in length. Their secondary structure includes four short double-helical elements and three loops (D, anti-codon, and T loops). Further hydrogen bonds mediate the characteristic L-shaped molecular structure. tRNAs have two regions of fundamental functional importance: the anti-codon, which is responsible for specific mRNA codon recognition, and the 3' end, to which the tRNAs corresponding amino acid is attached (by aminoacyl-tRNA synthetases). tRNAs cope with the degeneracy of the genetic code in two manners: having more than one tRNA (with a specific anti-codon) for a particular amino acid; and 'wobble' base-pairing, i.e. permitting non-standard base-pairing at the 3rd anti-codon position. The record is from Rfam by way of RNAcentral. Lineage: Eukaryota; Metazoa; Arthropoda; Arachnida; Araneae; Eresidae.
GCCUUCGUGGUGUAGUGGUCAGCACAUUGGACGCGUAUUCCUGAGGUCUGUGGUUCGAGUCCCGGCGAAAGCA